UAAAGGCUGAAUAUUGUAGAUUUAUUACAAUAUGUUGCAUGUUUGAAUUAAAAUACCUGUGGAUAUGCAGGAGCACACACUCUACAAAGGCCUGACUGGAGAUUUGCCUGAUCUAUCCGUCCUUCAGAUGACAGCGGCUCGCUUCAAGAGCAGGUGAAGCAAGUUGGGACAAUGUUGAAGACAUUUGCUCGCACUGGGCAAUCAGGUGCAGAUCAAACCCUAAUGCUGCGACGUCUUGGAAUUUGGCGAUGUUGUGCGUAGCAUGGACGACAAAAUGCUAUGCUGCAACGUUUCAGUGCCAAUGUGUCUGUUGGAGAGUUAUCCCUGCCAGGGGAUCUGUUACUCCCCCCUAGACACCCAGGAAGAUUUGGCGUUGCUUGACAACAGUUUGAGGCAGGAUAAAGAGC
Molecule: long non-coding RNA, 407 nt
Organism: Xyrauchen texanus (razorback sucker)
Lineage: Eukaryota; Metazoa; Chordata; Actinopteri; Cypriniformes; Catostomidae
Exons: 3
Source: RefSeq, a predicted model, not a curated record